ACCUUGCACACACACACACGCAUACACACACCUUGCACACACCUGCACACUCACACACCUGUGCAUACAUACACACUUGCACACACACACCUGUGCACACACACACCUGCAUACACACGCACACACACCCACACCCACAGCAUGGACACCACAGGAAUGUGGAUGGGAACUGAACCCAUCUCAGCCCUGGAGGGUUGGAACUUUGAACUGGUGGCCUGGGGUGAGUUCCCCUCCCCUGACUUUGGACUGAUCAACAUAAACAAAGAAAGGCCUGUAGCUUCAGGUAAGCAUGUUCUGGACUAGUCUUUAACAUAUCUGAUCAUCUAUCUGAUCAUCCCGGACUGGUCAGCCAGAAAGGGGUCCUGUCGAGGGAGAAGAAGCCUUUGUCUCCUGUCAAGAGGCUGAAGAAUCAGGAGUUGUACUGUCUUUAGCAUCUGUCUGUGGCCCCUUCCCUGAUUGCUCUGCCCUGCCCAGCAGGGAUCUAAACAGCCCCCAGUCCCUCGAGGGUCAGUACCCCCAGCUGUGAGAGCAGAGCAGACCACCUUCCUCUGCUGCAGCCACUCAAAGGGAGAUUAGUUUUAGCUGCCUCUGCAGAGUGGCUCCUUUGAUUAGAUCUUACUGUGCAGAGUCUUCUUCAGGAAAGGUUACUUCUACCGUUUAGUUGUGCACCACUCAGCGACAGGGCUGCAUUCUCAGGACACUGUUAGGCAGUUUUCCCCUGGUUCAGGUAUUGGAGUGAACUACACAGACCUGGAGUGC
This 759-nucleotide long non-coding RNA is filed under the name Rattus norvegicus (Norway rat). RNAcentral's name for it is "long non-coding RNA NONRATT021984". The record is from RNAcentral. Lineage: Eukaryota; Metazoa; Chordata; Mammalia; Rodentia; Muridae.